Non-coding RNA from Camellia sinensis, 525 nucleotides. The record is from RefSeq and is a predicted model, not a curated record. NCBI's taxonomy places the organism in Eukaryota, Viridiplantae, Streptophyta, Magnoliopsida, Ericales, Theaceae.
UUUUAUUUUUGUAAAUAUUUGAUUUUUCCUUUUUGUACAUCUUAUUAAGUUAUAAGUUUUUUUUUUGUUGCUUUGUUUUGUUUUUUUUUUCUUUUGAAAACAGAACUGUACAGCCACUUGUUCAACAGCAGAUUGGGUCUUGAACUUAUUGCAGAUCCCAGUUUCUGUUGCGGUAACUUUGUAUGAGGCAAUUGGCCUGUACAAGGGGAAAAGACAGAUUUCAUCAAGAGGAGAUACAGGCACUAACUUGAAAGCACACCAGCUGAUCUUGUACUGCUCCUGUGGCGUACUGGCUGGUAUAGUUGGUGGACUGCUUGGCUUAGGUGGAGGAUUUAUUUUAGGUCCAUCGUUUUUGGAGCUGGGAGUCCCUCCUCAGGUUUCAAGUGCUACAGCCACCUUUGCAAUGACCUUCUCCUCAUCAAUGUCUGUCGUAGAAUAUUAUCUUCUAAAACGUUUUCCAGUACCCUAUGGUAAGUUAGUGUUCCAUAUUACUGAAACAGUUUUUAUAAAGCAGUUUUCUGUUAU